GUCGAUAAUGGGACAAAAUUUCUAAUUUGGGAACCUAAUUUUCUCUGCAAAUCUUCUUUACAUCUCUAGCUUAUUAAUACACCUCAGAAGUGUUACAGGAUUUAAUCAGCAGGAUUUUGAAGAAUAUUUUGAGCACUUCCAUGAGAUUUGGAAGACCCUAUUCUUGCUGUG
Molecule: long non-coding RNA, 171 nt
Organism: Pan paniscus (pygmy chimpanzee)
Lineage: Eukaryota; Metazoa; Chordata; Mammalia; Primates; Hominidae
Source: Ensembl